RNAcentral lists this ribosomal RNA (433 nucleotides) under uncultured bacterium. Its description in RNAcentral is "partial 16S ribosomal RNA". It matches the Rfam family "Bacterial small subunit ribosomal RNA", at positions 29 to 507 of the family's 1533-position model. The record is from RNAcentral.
AAUGAACGCUGGCGGCAUGCCUAACACAUGCAAGUCGAACGAGAGCUUCGGGCUUAGUGGCGCAUGGGUGCGUAACGGGUGGGAUAAUGCCUUUAGGUUCGGCUUAACUUGCGGGAUGGGGUGCUAAUACCGGCUCUUGUAUCCGGACCAAAGUUUUGUCGCCUUUGGAUGGGCUUUCGUCGGAUUACUUAGUUGGUAGGGUAAAACCGUAUAACGGCGACGACCGAUAGCUGGGCAGAGAGGCUGGUCAGCCACACUGGGACUGAGACACGGUCCAGACUCCUACGGGAUGCAGCAGUGGCGAAUAUUGGACAAUGGGCUGAAGCCUGAACGACCAAUGCCGCGUGAGUGAUGAAGGCCUUAGGGUUGUAAAGCUCGUUUACCCGGGAUGAUAAUGACGGUACCAGGAGAAUAAGCUCCGGCUAACUCCGUG